RNAcentral lists this ribosomal RNA (446 nucleotides) under uncultured bacterium. RNAcentral describes it as "partial 16S ribosomal RNA". It matches the Rfam family "Bacterial small subunit ribosomal RNA", at positions 338 to 795 of the family's 1533-position model. The record is from RNAcentral.
CCUACGGGCGGCAGCAGUCGAGAAUCAUUCACAAUGGGGGAAACUCUGAUGGUGCGACGCCGCGUGGGGGAAUGAAGGUCUUCGGAUUGUAAACCCUUGUCAUGUGGGAGCAAAAUAAACAGAUAGUACCACAAGAGGAAGAGACGGCUAACUCUGUGCCAGCAGCCGCGGUAAUACAGAGGUCUCAAGCGUUGUUCGGAAUCACGGGGCGUAAAGCGUGCGUAGGCUGUUUCGUAAGGAGUGUGUGAAAGGCGCGGGCUCAACCCGCGGACGGCACAUGAUACUGCGAGACUAGAGUAAUGGAGGGGGAACCGGAAUUCUCGGUGUAGCAGUGAAAUGCGUAGAUAUCGAGAGGAACACUCGUGGCGAAGGCGGGUUCCUGGACAUUAACUGACGCUGAGGCACGAAGGCCAGGGGAGCGAAAGGGAUUAGAUACCCGGGUAGUC